GGACUACUCGGGUUUCUAAUCCUGUUUGAUCCCCACGCUUUCGUGCCUCAGUGUCAAUACAGACUUAGUGAACUGCCUUCGCAAUCGGUGUUCUAUUACAUAUCUAAGCAUUUCACCGCUACAUGUAAUAUUCCAUCCACCUCAAUCUGAUUCAAGCUAAGCAGUAUCAAUGGCAGUUCCGGAGUUGAGCUCCGGGCUUUCACCACUGACUUACAAAGCCACCUACGCACCCUUUAAACCCAGUGAAUCCGGAUAACGCUUGCACCCUCCGUAUUACCGCGGCUGCUGGCAC
RNAcentral lists this ribosomal RNA (292 nucleotides) under uncultured Bacteroidota bacterium. RNAcentral describes it as "uncultured Bacteroidetes bacterium partial 16S ribosomal RNA". Lineage: Bacteria; Pseudomonadati; Bacteroidota. The record is from RNAcentral.